This is a long non-coding RNA of Zonotrichia leucophrys gambelii, 375 nucleotides long. RefSeq lists it as uncharacterized. NCBI's taxonomy places the organism in Eukaryota, Metazoa, Chordata, Aves, Passeriformes, Passerellidae. The transcript has 4 exons. The record is from RefSeq and is a predicted model, not a curated record.
AGACUGGCUCCAAACAAAGGUUAAAAGGAAGAAAACCCCUGAGUGGUGGCAUGCACAGAAGGGAAGACCAAAUAAUUGAAACUAUAUUUUACUAAGAAUACCAGAAGAAUAAGUUGGAACAGUUUUCAGGAUUAGAACCUGCUGAACAGCACAGCCUCUGCCACCCAGCCCCUCCUUUGUGGGGCUCCUCCUUGCUGCAGGUCUCCAAAGCUGCCACCAGCCCCAGGCCGUGCAGGAAGUCUCCCUGUGAUGGGAUCUUUCCCAUCACCCUUGCCCAUUCCUGGAAAACCUUGGAUCUUUGCCUGUUCUGUCUUCAACCAGUGCAUCUCAGGGUGAGUAACUCCAUUGUGGCAUAAAACCCCCAUUGGCCACUCC